RNAcentral lists this ribosomal RNA (465 nucleotides) under Vreelandella stevensii. RNAcentral's name for it is "partial 16S ribosomal RNA". It matches the Rfam family "Bacterial small subunit ribosomal RNA", at positions 338 to 795 of the family's 1533-position model. The record is from RNAcentral. Lineage: Bacteria; Pseudomonadati; Pseudomonadota; Gammaproteobacteria; Oceanospirillales; Halomonadaceae.
CCUACGGGGGGCAGCAGUGGGGAAUAUUGGACAAUGGGGGGAACCCUGAUCCAGCCAUGCCGCGUGUGUGAAGAAGGCCCUCGGGUUUUACAGCACUUUCAGUGAGGAAGAACGCCUGGUGGUUAAUACCCAUCAGGAAAGACAUCACUCACAGAAGAAGCACCGGCUAACUCCGUGCCAGCAGCCGCGGUAAUACGGAGGGUGCGAGCGUUAAUCGGAAUUACUGGGCGUAACGCGCGCGUAGGUGGCUUGAUAAGCCGGUUGUGAAAGCCCCGGGCUCAACCUGGGAACGGCAUCCGGAACUGUCAAGCUAGAGUGCAGGAGAGGAAGGUAGAAGUCCCGGUGUAGCGGUGAAAUGCGUAGAGAUCGGGAGGAAUACCAGUGGCGAAGGCGGCCUUCUGGACUGACACUGACACUGAGGUGCGAAAGCGUGGGUAGCAAACAGGAUUAGAUACACUGGUAGUC